UGCCAGCCGCCGCGGAAAUACGGAGGGGUCUAGCGUUGUUCGGAAUUACUGGGCGUAAAGCGCACGUAGGCGGCUUGGUAUGUCGGGUGUGAAAUCCCCGGGCUCAACCUGGGAACUGCAUCCGAAACUGCCUUGCUAGAGUAUGGGAGAGGGAAGUGGAAUUUCCGGUGUAGCGGUGAAAUGCGUAGAUAUCGGAAGGAACAUCAGUGGCGAAGGCGACUUCCUGGACCAAUACUGACGCUCAGGUGCGAAAGCGUGGGGAGCAAACAGGAUUAGAUA
This 279-nucleotide ribosomal RNA is filed under the name uncultured bacterium. RNAcentral describes it as "partial 16S ribosomal RNA". It matches the Rfam family "Bacterial small subunit ribosomal RNA", at positions 506 to 784 of the family's 1533-position model. The record is from RNAcentral.